RNAcentral lists this long non-coding RNA (19282 nucleotides) under Nicotiana tabacum (common tobacco). Its description in RNAcentral is "long non-coding RNA (NTAB_LNC002669)". The record is from RNAcentral. Lineage: Eukaryota; Viridiplantae; Streptophyta; Magnoliopsida; Solanales; Solanaceae.
UCCUUGUGAAUUCUCCUGGAUGCCAUUAAUCCUACUCAAUUCUUGGAUGGAAUUAAAAAGGGAAAAAAUUCCCAAUAAUAAGAAUUUACAACUUAUGAAUAGAAAGAGCUCAACUUGUUAAAAAUUUUCAGUAUUGCAAAUAUAUAUAUAGGGGUCUAGGAGAAGAGAAUCAUUUCUUUAUCAGUAAUUAUUCAGUGGUCACUCAUUGGUAUUAGAUUCUAUGGGAGAAAGCAUUUGUAAAAGAAACAUGCACUUCAAAAAUGGACGAUAGAUGAUCUUUCAAACUUGUGAAGAACACACAAACAAAGAUUAUAUUCUACUGCUUAGCUUUUCUCAACUUCCCAAAAUAAAGAUUUUCAAUUUGAAAAGAAUAAACUAUGCAACAAUUUCCGGUUCUUUCAUUCUGUUUGAUCGAAUUUCAUCUUAUUUGUAUAGAUUCUUAAUGUAUAUGUUCAUGGUAUUUUCCCGAGUGAGGCGGACCCAAGAUCUGAAGGUGGCGGCGCACAUGAGAGAACUACUCAACCAGUGUCUUAUUUAACUUUUGAGCUUAAGGAUUCCGCAUAAAAUAUAUAAUCAUUUUCAACAUAGAUACACAUAUAUAUCUAAAAUUUUAGCCGAAGUUAAUAGAGUCUAAUGACCCCUCUACUUUGAACAUAGGUCAGUCUCUGCUACGAGUGGCUAUUAGAAUGAUAUUCCCAUCGUAAUAUUCAUGAAUUAGUCUUUUGGUUGGAUACUUAAAUCUUGUUUUAUGAAUGAUUUAGACCAAAUUUAAACUACACAUUAGUAAUAAACAAUUAUAAUGCAAAGAAUAUUUAUGCGGUGAAUGAUGAGUAUGUAUUUUAGAACAUUUUUGGAUUUUACUUACUCCACAUGUUGCAAAAACACAUAUUCUUAUUCCAUAUUUUAAUCCUUUUGUCACACCCCUUUUUACCCCCAAAAAGAUAUAUAUUAUUAUAUGGGUUAAAGAGUUUUUCCAACUUAAAGUGAAGAAUUUGAGUAAGGAUUAUUUUAUUUACAGAGUCGCCACUUCGAAUUGAUUUUUGGGUGUUUCAAGUCACCUUUUAUUUGAAUCCCUAGUCAAAGGAAAGAUGACUCUAUUUAUUAUUGGUCUGCGAAAAUAAAAUCCGGGUAAGAAAUUUUGUUGACUGGGGAGAAGGUGUAAGGCAUUCCCCGAGUCCCAUGGUUCUAGCACGGUCGCUUUAUUGACUACAACUUGGCUUGAAUUAAUUUUGGAUAAACUGUGAUUGAUUAAUUUUUAUAUUUUAUCUAUCUGCUUUUAAUCAUUAAAAUAUGGGAUUAUCCUUGAAACGAAUCACGUGUGUGAAUCCGUUUUGUUUAUUGUGCCAAAAUCAUAUCACGCGUAUGUGUACACAAUUAAUAACAUUUUAUUAUACUAAGAUUAUUUUGCCCAAAGUUGCGCGAACGCGUACUUCAAUUUUAAUUUUGAAAAUUAUAACUAUGUUACACGAAUGUGUACAUAAUCAUGAUAAUUUAUUUAUUAAUAUGCGCCUAAAGCAUACUAGCGAUUAUUAAGAAUUUUUUUUCUAAACUAAUUUUGAGAUUAUUGCAAGGUCAUUGAUUAUGGAUAAAUAAUUAUUGUGGAAGACGUUAUGUACUCUAGUUAUUAAGCUAAUGGACCAGUGAAUAUUUCAAAGGAAAUUAAAGCUCAAAUGCACCUUUUUAAAGAAAUCUACUGGGUCCAAUUAGUCCUAACCGCUCAUACACUCUAAUUAUUAUCAUGACAAAUGUUAGCUCAAUACCAACCCUUUAACAACAUAUCCAACAAUCCCAACGGCCCAAUGAUCUUGUCUAACAACCCACUUGCCGGCUAUAAAAUCUUCAUUAUUCAGUCUUUCUAAGAAGAUUAAAUCUUACUACAAUUUAUAAAAAAUGUUAUCUAAGUAAUUUAUCAAUCAAUUGCCUUGAAUCAGAAAAAAAAAAAACUAAAGUAUGAAAAAUUACAUAAAUAAUAUAAUAACUCGUGGCAUGGAAACACAUAUCAUUCGCAUAGAAGAACUAAACAAGAGCUUAAAAUAUUUAUUUAGACAGAAAAUGAAGGAUGUAGCGAACCUUUGGUGGAGUAAAACUUUCUUCAUUGUAUUAAUAAAAAAUUUCAAGCAUUGAAUUACAGAGAGAACUCACCAACCAAUCUUGAAGGCAGAAAACUACGAACAAAUACCUCUGACCGGAAACCUCGAUGACGACCUCAACAACAACCUCCUAUUGGUGGUGUUUGGGGUAAGUUUCAGCUGCUAUUUUGUGGAUUUCGCGAUUGUUUUUAGGAAGUUUGGUGGUCGUUUUGUAGCUGGUUUUUCAGCUGAUUUUCUCUACUAUUUUUGGCUGUUUUAACAGCUGAUUUUGCUAUAAUUUUUGGGGUGGGUUUUAGGUGCUGAUUUUGGAGAAGCUAAGGCCGCUCAUCUUUUUUUUUUGAGAAGGAACUAUCCCGUUUUCUUUUUUUUUUCCGCUGCUUUAAGAAGAAGAAAAAAGGGUUGCUAAGUUUUUUUUAAUGAGAAGUAGUGCUCUUUUUAUUCUCUCUUUCUUCCUCUUUUUACUCCCAUUUUUUCGUAUUGUCCCCCUCUUUCCUCUUCCCCUUUUUGACUUUCCUCCUCCAUUUUUUGACUUUUUGUUGUAUGUGUUUGGGAUGGAGAUAAAACUCCUUUUUUUUUGUGAGUGUCCGUGUGUGUUGGUGGAGGGAUUAUGUGAGGAAAGUGCAUGGGAAAAGUGAAAGUGUGAGUGGAAAAAGUAAAAAAUGAGGUAUUGGUGAGAUGAGUAGAAAGGAAAUUCACGCAUAGUAAAAAAUUAGGUGCUCACAACAUGCCCCUCUUUGCUUAGAAACAUGAGGAGUUUUCAAGCAAAAACAAGGUAAGCCAUGUGACUAAAUUUUUGACCAAAUUAUUAUUUAAAAAGGAAAAAUAAAUAAAAGAAAAGGGUGCAACCAAGUCCUGGUUUUGGAUAGCCUACAUAUCCCUGGUUAUAAGGGAAUUAAGCUAUGUGUAGUUCAAGGAGGAAGAAUGGAAUGGUGGAAUGAUGAGUAGGAGAGUCGAGUGAGGUUUUGUCGAGGCUCUGGUCCGCGGUCUUGUUAUUACAUCAAGAUCAAAAGAAACUAAACAAGCCUAUCAGCUAUCAGUUACAAGAUUCCUAUCUAUAAGUCUUCUAAAAUUUGAUCUUGAGUCUUGACUGGUUCUUCACGCAGACUCUGAUCUGAACCUUGAUGCUAUCUAGCUGGAUGUGGUAGUUCAUUCUUCUACGGCUUCUUCUGAUCAAAACGAAAAAUGUAAAGCUCGUAACUUUAGUCAUGUCUUGAGUGGUCCAUAUCCUUUUCAGCUGCUUCUGCAUUUGGAUUCACUUCUUUUCCUUUUCUUUUCUUUAUUCUGGAUUGAGAAUUCUUCUUUGGUCAUCUUGAACCCUGUGACUCGAGGUAAAACCUGCUCAAACACCAAAACAAACAAACGAACAAAAUUUUUCUGCCCUAGUUUUCACUAGAAAAAUUUUGUGAGUUAUUGUAACAAAAUUCUAAACUACUUCAUUAUUAAAUACACUAAAGUGUCGUGAAUGGUGUACCCUGUGAAAACAUGAUAAUGGUGGUUGUUUUGGAAUGGUGUACCCUUCUUGUCAAAAUGAUGUCUCAACUAAGGAUUGGUGUACCUUAUAUUGGAAAAAUCCGACUAGGGAAUGGUGUACCCUAUAUUAACAAAGAUAUUAGGGAGUGGUGUAUCCUGCAUUUAAUCUCAAAUCAACUAGGAAGUGGCGUACCCUAUGUUACUAAAAGAAAAUAUAACCAGGGGUUAGUGCCUUGUAUUACUGAAAAGAAAUGUAACCGGGGGUUGGCGCCCUGUAUUACUGAAAAGAAAAUGUAACCAAGAGUUGUCACCCUGAAUUACUGAAAAGGAAAUGUAACCAGGGGUCGUACUCUGUAUUACUGAAAAUGGAACGUAACUAGGGAUUGACGCCCUAUAUUACUGAAAAAGGAAUGUAACCGGGGGCUGAAACCAUGUAUUACUGAGAAGGAAUUGUAACUAGAGGUUUGCGCCCUACAUUACUGAAAAGGGAACGUAAUCAGGGGUUAGAACCUUGUAUUACUGAAAAAAGAACGUAACUAGGGGUUGGAAGCCUGUAUUACUGAGAAGGAAUGUAACCAGGGGUUUGCGCCCUGUAUUACUGAGAAAGAAAGUAACCAGGGUUUGAUACCUUGUAUUACUGAGAAAGAAAGUAACUAGGGGUUGGCACCCUAUAUUAUGGAGAAGGAAUUGUAUCCAGAGGUUGGCACCCUAUAUUACGGAGAAGGAAAAUGUAACCAGGGGUUGGUGCCCUGUAUUACUUAAAAGACAAUGUAACUAGGGGUUGGUACCCUGUAUUACUGAUAAAAUGCUGAAUCCCUUGGGCGAAAAAGUUCUACCUGGGUUAAACUACGAAAGUAAGCCUGGGCGAAGAGUACUUCUACCCGAAAAUAUGAGCUGGAUCCCCCUAGGAAAAAAGGUUCUACCUAGNUUAAGCNNNNNNNNNNNNNNNNNNNNNNNNNNNNNNNNNNNNNNNNNNNNNNNNNNNNNNNNNNNNNNNNNNNNNNNNNNNNNNNNNNNNNNNNNNNNNNNNNNNNNNNNNNNNNNNNNNNNNNNNNNNNNNNNNNNNNNNNNNNNNNNNNNNNNNNNNNNNNNNNNNNNNNNNNNNNNNNNNNNNNNNNNNNNNNNNNNNNNNNNNNNNNNNNNNNNNNNNNNNNNNNNNNNNNNNNNNNNNNNNNNNNNNNNNNNNNNNNNNNNNNNNNNNNNNNNNNNNNNNNNNNNNNNNNNNNNNNNNNNNNNNNNNNNNNNNNNNNNNNNNNNNNNNNNNNNNNNNNNNNNNNNNNNNNNNNNNNNNNNNAGGCCUGGGUGAAGAGUACUUCUACCCGGAAAUAUGAGAUGGAUCCCCCUAGGCGAAAAAAGUUCUACCCAGAUUAAGCUACAAAAAGCAAGCCUGGGCGAAGAGUACUUCUACUCGAAAAUAUGAGAUGGAUCCCCCUAGGCGAAAAGGUUCUACCUGGGUUAAGCUAAGUAAAACAGGCCUGGGUGAAGAUUACUUUUACCCGAAAAUAUGAGUUGGAUCCCCCAAGGCGAAAAAGGUUCUACCUGGGUUAAGCUACAUAAAACAGGCCUGGGUGAAGAGUACUUCUACCCGAAAAUAUGAGCUGGAUCCCCCUAGGCGAAAAAGGUUCUACCUGGGUUAAGCUACGUAAAACAACCUAGGUGAAGAGUAAGUACUUCUACCCGAAAAUAUGAGUUGGAUCCCCCUAGGAGAAAAAAGGUUCUACCUGGGUUAAGCUACGAAAAUGGUCUGUAUGAACAGUAGUGAAUAAAUGAAAAUGGAGAUUUUGCGGAACUUACCUUUGGUGACAUUCGUCCUUUGAGAAUCUUCAUGCUGCACUGCUUUGUUCCUGCUUCAAACAAAGGAAGUUUGUGAGUUUUCAAUAUGGUGGUCGGUUUCUGGAUUUGUUGCCCUGAGUGGAUUGAAUUUACGGCCACUGUUGUCGAAGAUCCGAUUCUGUCAAUGUGGUACCGAGAUGCUCAGACACUCUAUGUCGCUUUCUGGAGACCUCAGUUUUCCGACGUUUCCCCUGAUUGUUUCAUACCCGGAUGUCCAUGGUGCCUCUAAUCCUUGUCCCUAAAGCAAGGCAAUUUUCCUUUAAAAUUGAACUUAGUUGUCUUGCACCCAGUACCAGUUUGUGUCUGUAGUGCUUAUCAACUUUUCCCAUGAAGCAAGUCUUGCUUAUGCGACCUUUUUGGUUUCUUUGAGACACUUUGUUCGGCUUAUCAAAAGAGAUCACAAAUGGAUUCGUGCCUUUGUCGAUACCGUAUGUGUCCCAAAUUAUGCUCGGUAGUAAGGGAAAACUAUAACCAGUUUUGCAACCAUUUCCUUGCUUCGCUUUUGAUGCAAGAUUAGACCAAAAGGGACUCAAAGAAAAAUUAUGGAAAAAACAUAAGAGCAAUUGAAAGUAAAAAAGGAAUUGUGUUUAAACCAAAGGUGUCCCUUUCGGGGAGAGAAAUAGAGAGACUUAUCUGUAGGUGUGUAACGACUUCAAUGAAUCAUGAAAUGCAUUUUGGACUAGACGCCUGGUUCGUCUGAGAUGUCUAAUUCUCAAAAUCCAUCGCAAAUGUUCAUCUUGAAACUGUCUUGGUUGUGCACAUGCCGGAGUAUCGAAGACCCUCAUUUGGUUAGUAGCGCCCUUUGCGGGUUUUCUCUAACUAACCUCUCUCAUUUCUCUACUCACCGUCGCCUUAUGGUGCCCCUCUGGGUUUUCACCAAUAAGACUCUCUCAUUUCUCUGUUCACUGUCGCCUUACUGUGCCUUUACGGGUUUUCACCGAUAAGACUCUCUCAUUUUUUUUGACUAAGAUACUACAUGCGGAAGGUUGCCAAAUGCCCUUGGCACGGGGACUUCAAACAUUCUCAAAGAUCGAUCAGAAGUUCCUAAUAGGGAAAGGGCGAAAAGAACCUUGAACUGAAUUACACUUUUGGAACCAUUUUUACAGAAGAAAAAACGUAAAAUAAAACAAACUUCUGCCCCAAUUUUGGAGUAUUGGGAAUAUGGAUUUUUUGUUGUGAUGGGACCGAACCCAGGGUAAGGCUGCCUACGUAUCCUUUCGGAAUCAGGUCGGACGUAGUUCACUAACUCAGAAGAUUUUAUUUUUUUACAAGUACAAAGGUUCUAAAAAGAGGGGAAACAAAGAAGACAAAUACGACUUAAAAGGGUGACACCUAUUUGGGAUAGUUAGCAAUUGUAGCCUUCGUUAUCUCGAUCUGAUAAAAUCAUGCGUGAAAGUUCCGCAAUGGGUAUAUAUCUAACAUAAUAUCUUUUGACUGCAUUUGCAUUAAUAGUCAUGUCUAGCACUCGUCCUUCUUCAUCUACCAAGUGCGAGGCCCCUUUUGGUAACACUUUCUUGAUGAUGUAGGCUCCUUGCCAGUUCGAGGCGAACUUUCCUUUAGCUUCUACCUGGUGUGGAAUGAUGCGUUUCAAAACGAGCUGGCCUACCUCAAAGUGCCUUGGGCACACUUUUUUAUUAUAAGCGCGUGCCAUUCUUUGCUUGUAUAGAUGGCCAAAACACACUGCUGCUAGUCGUUUUUCAUCAAUUAGCAUUAGCUGUUCUAAUCGGGUCUUGACCCACUCAGUGUCUUCAAUCUCCGAUUCCACAAUGAUUCGGAGAGAGUAAUUUUCGACUUCAUCAGGUAUUACAGCUUCAGUUCUAUAUACCAGCAAAUAAGGAGUUGCACCCACUGAUGUGCGAGCAGUCGUGCGGUAUCCCAAAAGAGCAAAAGGAAAAUUUUCAUGCCAUUGCCUAGACCCUUGGAUCGUCUUCCUAAAAAUCUUCUUGAUGUUCUUGUUAGCCGCUUCAAUGGCUCCAUUGGCUUUUGGCCGGUAAGGGGUAGAAUGGCGGUGCACAAUUUUAAAUUGCACGCAUACCUCAUUCAUCAGAUGACUAUUUAGACUGGUUGCAUUGUCAGUGAUAAUAGUCUUUGGGAUACCAAAGCGACACAUGAUGUUGGAAUGAACAAAGUCUACCACUGCUUUCUUGGUGACUGCUUUGAAAGUAACUAUCUCCACCCAUUUGAUGAAAUAAUCAAUGGCGACCAAAAUGAAUCUAUGCCCAUGUGAAGCUUUUGGCUCGAUUGGCCCAAUAACAGCCAUUCCCCAAGCAAAGAAAGGCCAAGGAGAGGACAUGGGAUGCAAUUCCGACGGAGGCGAGUGAAUCAGGUCGCCAUGAAUUUGUAUUGGUGACACUUGCGAAUAAAACUGAAGCAAUCUCGCUCCAUAGUAAGUCAAUAAUACCCUGUCCGUAGAAUCUUCUUUGCCAAAACAUAUCCAUUCAUGUGAGGCCCACAUACCCUCAAAUGCACUUUAUUCAUGAUCCGUUCGGCUUCUGUGGAAUCUAUGCAUCUCAACAAGUUUAAAUCUGGGGUCCUUUUGUACAAAAUUUCCCCAUUCAGGAAGAAACUACCAGCGAGCCGUCAUAUAGUUCUUUUUUGAUCUCCCUUGGCAUACUAUGGGUAUUCCCUUAUUUUCAGGAAUUGUUUUAUGUCAUGAUACCAUGGUUCACCAUAUGGUUCUGCCUCAAUUGUAUUGUAGUAACCGUGUUGAUUCCGAACUUGGAUUUCUAAUGGAUCAAUAUAAAUAUUGGUUGGAUAAGGAAGCAUCGAUGCUAAGGUAGCCAAGGUGUCAGCUAGCUCGUUGUGAAACCUGGGAAUGUACCUGAACUCGAUGGAUUUAAAUCUUUUGCUCAGGUCUUGCACACAUUGUCUGUAUGGAAUAAGCUUGAUGUCUCGAGUCUUCCAUUCGCCUUGGGCUUGCCGGAUAAGCAAGUCAGAAUCUCCCAUAACCAAUAGUUCAUGUACAUCUAGAUCGAGGGCCAUUUUCAGACCCAUGAUACAAGCCUCGUAUUCUGCCGUAUUAUUGGUACAGAAGAAUCAAAGUAUGUGCUUAGUGGCUCAUAGUCAUCAUCGACUGGAUUCUCUGCCAAAUGAUCAGCCAAAGCUUGUGCUUUCAUUGCGGUGCGAGUGACAUAGACGACGUCGAACUCUGUGAGCAGAAUUUGCCACUUUGCGAGCCUGCCAGUGGGCAUUGACUUUUGGAAGAUGUACUUCAAGGGAUCCAUUCUGGAUAUGAGGUAAGUAGUGUAGGCCAAAAGAUAAUACCUCAGCUUCUGAGCGACCCAAGUCAAGGCACAACAAGUCCUUUCUAAAAGAGUAUACUUAACCUCAUAAUUGGUGAACUUCUUGCUCAAAUAAUAGACUGCAUGUUCCUUAUUGCCCGUCGCAUCAUGUUUCCCCAGUACGCAUCCAAAGGAAAUAUCCAUCAUCAAUAGAUAUUAAAACAAAGGCUUACCCGGUUCAGGUGAGACCAGUACAGGGGGUUUCGACAGAUAGUCCUUGAUCCUGUCGAAUUAUUUUUGGAAGUCGCUUGUCCAUUUAACAACAACAUCCUUUUUUAACAACUUAAAGACGGGCUCGCACGUGGUUGUGAGUUGAGAAAUGAACCUACUGAUAUAGUUCAACCUCCCGAGCACACUCAUGACUUCAGUUUUAUUCUUCGGGGGCGACAGAUAUCGAAUGGACUUUAUCUUAGAUGGAUCCAAUUCGAUGCCUCUCCGACUGACUAUAAAACCGAGGAGUUUCCUAGACGGAACCCCAAAUGCACACUUGGCUGGAUUGAUCUUAAGAUCAUACCUUCAUAGUCGUUCGAAGAACUUUUUCAAAUCACGCACGUGAUCAACCCGUGUCUUUGAUUUUAUGAUGACAUCAUCGACAUAUACUUCAAUAUCCUUGUGCAUCAUAUCGUGGAAAAUGGUAGUCAUGGCCCUCAUGUACGUUGCCCCUGCAUUCUUCAAACCGAAUGGUAUGACCCUGUAGUAAUAAGUACCCCAUGGAGUGGUGAAAACAGUCUUUUCUGCAUCAUCCUCAUCCAUUAGAAUCUGGUGAUACCCAACAUAGCAAUCCACAAAUGAUUGUAUCCCAUGCUUUGCGCAAUUAUCUACAAGAAUGUGGAUGUUUGUAAAGGAAAAUUAUCCUUUGGAAUUGCUUUGUUCAGGUCUCUGUAGUUAACACAAAUUCUGGUUUUUCCAUCCUUCUUUGGCACAGACACAACAUUUGCCACCCAGGUGGUGUAUCGAACAGCUCUGAUCAUAUUGGCGCUCAGUUGCUUCAUUAUUUCCUCUUUUAUUUUGUCACUCAUAUCUGUUUUAAAUUUUCAUUGCUUUUGUUGGACUUGUGGAAAAUCAAGAUACGUGGGAAGCUUNNNNNNNNNNNNNNNNNNNNNNNNNNNNNNNNNNNNNNNNNNNNNNNNNNNNNNNNNNNNNNNNNNNNNNNNNNNNNNNNNNNNNNNNNNNNNNNNNNNNNNNNNNNNNNNNNNNNNNNNNNNNNNNNNNNNNNNNNNNNNNNNNNNNNNNNNNNNNNNNNNNNNNNNNNNNNNNNNNNNNNNNNNNNNNNNNNNNNNNNNNNNNNNNNNNNNNNNNNNNNNNNNNNNNNNNNNNNNNNNNNNNNNNNNNNNNNNNNNNNNNNNNNNNNNNNNNNNNNNNNNNNNNNNNNNNNNNNNNNNNNNNNNNNNNNNNNNNNNNNNNNNNNNNNNNNNNNNNNNNNNNNNNNNNNNNNNNNNNNNNNNNNNNNNNNNNNNNNNNNNNNNNNNNNNNNNNNNNNNNNNNNNNNNNNNNNNNNNNNNNNNNNNNNNNNNNNNNNNNNNNNNNNNNNNNNNNNNNNNNNNNNNNNNNNNNNNNNNNNNNNNNNNNNNNNNNNNNNNNNNNNNNNNNNNNNNNNNNNNNNNNNNNNNNNNNNNNNNNNNNNNNNNNNNNNNNNNNNNNNNNNNNNNNNNNNNNNNNNNNNNNNNNNNNNNGCCGAGGAAUUUUUGACCCUCUUGGAGUCGUGGCUUAACAAAAGUGUAGAAAAUAUGAGGGAUAUAUUGCUGCAAGACCCACCCAUGCUUUUUGCGGUGCUUGAAUUUGUCUUCGUCUGCUUGCGUUGGCCUAAAGCCUAAGCCAAAAGUACCUUUGUUACUAAAUGGAGAGAGGGGUUCUGGAAUUCCUUGCAAUGAUGCCCCAAGCCUUUUCCUGGAUCAUAAUCCUAUCUCAGCAUAAGUGCAGCCACUAUUACAGAUAUGGCGAAAAGACGGGUAUGCAUAAUGGGCUUUCUUUCCUCAAUAUGGUCCACAACAACCACUUCAAAAGUCUGAUAGAUAAUGGACUCGCACCCUUCCUUGGCCUCAAUACAAAAGAUUAAUGGGUCUUUAUAAAUGGAUGAAUCGUCUUCUCCGUGAACAAUAAUUUCUUGCUUGUCAUGUUCGAACUUGAGCAUCUGAUGCAAGGUGGAUGGCACAGCUCAAGCCAUAUGGGAUCCAUGGCCUUUCAAGAAGAAAAUUAUAAGAAGUUUCUAUGUCCACUACUUGGAAGAUAAUUUCAAAAUCGACCGGUCCAAUUGUCAUGGUGAGGCACAUCUCCCCAAUGGUUUCUCUUGCCGAGCUAUCAAAGGCCUGAAUACGGACAUUGCUGGGUCGGAUUCUAUCUGUAUUGAUCUUCAUGCUUUGCAAGGUGGAGAGAGGUCAUACAUCUACGCUUGAGCCUCCAUCACCAUGACUCGCUUUACGUAAUGCCCCUCAUAUUUGACAACCAGGUGUAAAGCCCUAUUGUGCCCGGCUCCUUCUUCGGGGAGUUCAUUAUUAGUAAAGGUGAUUCUGUUCACCUUAAAAAAUCUGUUGGCCAUCUUCUCUAACUGAUUCACUGUGGUCUUCUCUGAGACAUGUGCCUCAUUCAAGAUCUUGAUUAGUACACGGGCAUGCUCUUUUGAAUGUAUGAGCAAAGAUAGUAGAGAGAUUUGGGCAUGAUUCUUUCUCAGCUGGUCAAUGAUUGAAUAAUCUUGUACUUUCAUCUUUUUCAAAAACUCUUCCGCCUCUUCUUCAGUGACUAGUUUCUUUAUUGGCAUUUGGCCUUCUCUGAUUUGCUUGGCCUUCCUCAACUCUUCUGGAGAGUAACACCUCCCCGAUCGAGUCAAACCUCCAAGUUCCCCCACUUCUUCUAUGAUUUCCUUGCCUUUGUAGGUCAUCACAAUUUUGUUGUAGUUCCAAGGAAUGGUUUUCGUGUUUGUCACACGGGGUUGUAUGGCAGACUUGAUUAUGAUCGGCUCUGUUAUACCCUUUGUACUGCCAUGCUUCUGCCUUGUGAUGGGGUGGCCCCUAAGUACAUACAACUUUGGGCUUGGAACAUUGGAGCAAAUUUCCAACCUCGAUAUUUUUGGAACAAAUAAAGUUUCCUUCUCUGAGCUCUGGGAGACUUUCACAAUCAACGACACAUCUCGGCUUGGGCUUACUUCCCGUCCUGCUCUUUCUUGAAUCAUUCCCACUGUCAUUUAUGCUCGACCAACCGUCUUGUAUUUUUGAACUCGGCCAAUCAUUACCACAAAAUGAAUAUCAUUAUGUGCUGGCAAUGGGUUGUUUGUCACAUUAGGGGUGUCUUCUCCAUUCAUUCCCACAAUCAACUUUUCACCGAUGAGUCUUUCUAUGGCUCUUUUCAGAGUCCAAUAGUCAUCGGUGCUAUGCCCCGGGGCACCUGAAUGAUAUUCACAUCUAGCAUUUGCGUGAAAUCCAUGUGACUUGGGAUGCAUAUGAUGGGGAGCGAUGGGUCCAAUCAUGCCUAUCUGCUUCAACUUCUGGAAUAGACUAGAGUAUGAUCCAGCCAAGGAGUGAUCUUUUCCACCGGCCUCUACUCUCGACCAUAAUCCUACCUGGGACGAGCAUUGUAGGGUGCCCAAAAAUUUAUCUGGUGAGGUCGGGGGAUACAUGGAGCUGGUGCCCGUACCUAUUGAUUUGUGAGGACGAGCAUAGGAUUGAGCAUUAAACACUGUAUAAUGUGGUGGGACCAUAGAGUAUUGAGGAAUUGGCGGGGGAUAAUAAUAUUGAGGGUAGUUGGAUUGCCCCUGCUGAACUUGCACAUAAGGAUGUGAUGCCCCUCUUUGAACUUCCUUGGACCCCGAAGUCAGCAUGGACCCUUCUUCUCUCUUCUUUCUAUUUGCCAAACUUCCCGACCCAUUUUAGAUUGCUUGGGUGGUGGCUUUGAGAGCAGCUUGACUUAUAUUCUGCCAGUCUUGAGGCAAUUUUCGACCAUCUCCCCUAUUUUAAUUGCUUAUGCAAAAGGUCUACUCAUUGCGGACAUCAUGUUCUGAAAGUAAUCAGGCUCUUGAGCCUCUAUAAAAACAGUGAUCAACUCAUGGUUAUCCAUGGGUGACUUAACUCUAGCCGGUUGCUCCCUCCACUUGAUGGCAUACUCUCUAAAGCUUCCAGUCAGCUUUUUCUUCAUAUUGGACAGGGAAUUACGAUCUGGCGCAUUAUUAAUGUUGUACUGGAAUUAUUUGACAAAGGCCUGGGCCAUGUCAUCCCAAACAUGCUGGUGAGAGAUAUCUUGGUCAAUGAACCAUUCGUAGGCUACCCCCAUAAGACUUUCCCCAAAAUAAGCCAUCAGUAAUUCUUCUUUUCCAUCUGCACCCCUCAGCUGGUUGCAGUACCUUUUCAAGUGGGCGAUAAGGUCGCCGUGUCCAUCAAAUUUCUCAAAUUGUGGGGUCUUGAACCCUGUUGGCAAACGAAUGUUAAGGAACAUGCAUAGAUCACUGAAUGAAACACAUUUGUGACCACUUCGUCCUUGUAUGUUCUUUAUGUUCUAUUCAAGACUUUUCAUUUUCUUGGCCAUCUAAUCCUACUCAACCCUCUUGGUAGGCUUUUUAUUUUCCACUGGUGACUCGUACUGAGGAAUCUGAUUGUAUGGAACCGAGACCCUGAAAGCCAUAUUUGGAGAGUAGUAUUGGCCAUCAUAAGCAUGGGAUAGUGGCUCGUGUUUUGGCCUCGUCACAUGAGGUGGUGGCGGGAUUGUAUAUACCGGUGAGCCAGACACGAUGAGAGGGGUGUUCAUGACCGGUGCGCUGGAGGUCGCACAUUAGAGGUACCAGGGGUAGCAUGGAGGCUGUAGUUUGGCACAUACCUUGGUGGUAUAAUGUGAUCGCUCAUUGCAGGGAGCGAUGGUUGAGUAGCUAGGGGUACGGUGGAAGUUCUCUCUGAGGGACCCCACGGUGGAGGCUGAUCGGAAACCCAAGCUUGAUAUACAUUAGACAAUUGCUGUCUCAAUUUUCUUAUUUCCUCCGACUCUUGCUCAACUGAUUGACCCUGGGGGGUCGUCACUGACCAGCUCGAUCUCAUCAUUGUUAGCCAUUGCUACUUUUUCCUUAGAUCUAGUGAAGUAAUGAUGUGUUUCCAAUUUCACCACAAACCAACCACCUUAAGCUUACUUUGAUAAGAGGCAACAAACGUGUUAGGGUCAAGCAUUUAACAAAUACAAAUCACACGUAAAUAUGCUAUGCUCCUAAGAUUAUUACCAUCUCUAACAUGCUUUUGGAAGGCUUCAUGUUUCAUUCUGGCUUUUAAGGUUGCUUCUUAUUGACGUUCUUAUUUCCUUCUCUUUUUUUUCACUUGCCUCAUUUCGAUCCCUCAUUCUAGAGUCAUUGAAAAAUAUUUGAUCCACCUUUUGGGGGUUGCCUACGUAUCAUGUCGCUGCAUGAAUCAGAUCAUUACGUAGUUCAAGGGGGAUAAUAAUAAUAAUUUUGAUGAUUUUUGAUUUUCUUUUAAAGUUUUUUUUAUAAAAAUAGAAUAUUUUUCAUUCAUUUAAAAUCAAUUUGUUUUGGUUUUAAAUACAAUAAGAGAAAAGAAAAAUAUAUAAAAACUAACUCAAUUGACACUAAAGACAUAAAUAUGACUGUAAUAAAAUAAAUUUUGAUAGGAAUAAAAAUCUCCAAAUAUAAAAUUUAAAAUGCGACAAAUGAAAAUGAAACUAAAAACUAAUUGACUGCACUAAAACUUUAAUCUUCAAUGGCCUUCUUGCUUAAACUGAUAUCAUCAAUGGUCCGCAUCCCUUGGCCUGCACUCUCCCCCCAAAGUCUCGUACAAAUUCUGAAACACCGUCGACAACUGUGGAACGAGGGCAAGUGCCUAUUGACCAACUUUCUCACUGUUUAGAUGACGAUGGUCAUCAUGAAUACAUGCUGCUUUCUCUACCAAUUGAAGUACUUACUCUAUGGCUUGCCCCAUAUUCACGUGACAAUUCUGCAACCAUAUCUAGGUAGUGUUGAGGGCGUGCCCCAUCUGAGACUCACGUCCCUCAUAUUCUUCAAUACGACGGUUUAGCAUACCUAUCUCAAUCAUCCACUGAUGCAGCUCUCCCUCAAAAUCUGUAUGUUGAUGACCCCUCUUCUGCCUUUUUAUUUCUUCCAAUUGUGCAUGAAGCUGGCCCUUUGAGCGUAUCCAAUGGGCCCUUUCUCUUUCAAACUGCUCUCUCUACUGAUCAAACUCCAAUUGUUGCUGGUGCACAUCCUCUUCAAUGAUACUUAAGUCUUCUUGCAGCUUAUGCAUUUCAGCAUUUUUAUUAACCUCAACUCUUCUGACUAAACCAAUCGUGCUUGACAGUUCUUCUUCUAAGCGGUCCGCCUCAUAUUUAGCAUGCUUUAGAUCUUUAUUCAUGCCCCGUAAGGCAGAUUGAUUAUCUUUUUCAAUAUUUAAAUGAAUCUGAGCGACUCCGAGUUGCUACUGGGCUUGUUGUUUGGCUAUGGUCAUCCGAGCAUGCUCCAAUUCCUCUUUUAGCCUUUCUAUAGUUCUUUGAUCAUUUCUCCACCUGCUGGACCCCUCAGGCCUGUCUCUAAAUGACGAAAGGUCAUGAAACCAGGUAAUAUAUUCAAGGAUCACCUCUCCACGAUCUCGAUCUUCUACCAUCUCAUUCAACUCCGAGACCUUACUUGCAUACCAAAUUUUCAUAAUUUCUUCUUCAUCAUGAGGCUGAUCUUUACCAAAAUCAUAACAGAACUUGCUCAUAUCUCGUGUUGGUGGCACCUCCUGUAGUCGUGCAAAUUAUACUUUACCCAAAGUGGAGCAUAAGACAGAACACCAUCCAAUCCUAUGAGUACCAAAUAAGAAUGGUAUGCAGACUUACAAAUGACAUCUUUAGAGGAAAACCAAUCGUAGUUCCAAGUGAUCCGUUUGGCGGACAGAGUAAGAAGCAGAUCUUUCCAUGCGUCAAUCCCUCCUGAUAAGUCACAUUCGUCAAUUCUUUUCUAGUGAUCAUAAGUAUUAUUGGGCCAAAGCUCACUAAAAUCAUUGAUCGUAGGAUGACGAUAAAAAUGCUCCAAAAACCAUAUCUGUAACAGAAUGUUAUAGCCAUCAAAGUUGCGCGUGCACAAUUUACAUUUAGUUAAAGCACAAAAAAUGCAAGAAAGAAUCAUAGGAACCAAAAUAUAAUCAUCCCCUUCUGAGGUCAGAGCCUCAACUACACUUGCCAAGCGGAUGUCAAUGUGUCCUUCCCUUCCCGGAAAAACUACACGCCCCAAAAAAGUAACCAUAAAUACCAACAUUCUAUGUACCUUCCAUGUUUUCUUAUCUUCCCACAUUCCUUUCGAAAUUGCAUUCUAGGCCAUACAGGUGGAACAAAAAUCCCAACUUAACCCACUUGGCUCCUAAACCUUCAUAUUAUCCGUAAUUUAUGUUCAAGAGCUUCACAAACCUACCCCCAUUCAUAUUUUUUGGUUCUAUGGUCCUUUGGCGGUGAAGAUUGCGGCCCCACCCCUAAAAAUGGGAGAUUUCCUCCAAGGUCGGAGUCAUUUCACAGUCGGUAAAACGGAACACAUUAUUUUUAGGACCCAGUGCGGAAUCAAAGCUUCGGUCACAUCCCUCCUAGGCUUGAUCGUAAUCAUGUGAACCAAAAGUCCCAAGUAUUUCUUUAUCUGGUUUUGCUCAUAUUCCUUAAAGUCUCUCCACCAAUCCCUUAACAAUUGUGGUAUCUGAUCGACAAUCAGAAAAUACGGUAUCCCUUAUGAUCUGGGCCUCUUUUCAGCCUUACCUCUUUCCCCACUCAUGGUGUACCUGUUUACCCAAACACGAGGUUAGGCUUUAAUCAAAUAUAUUAUUGACACACAAAAAUUCCGAUUUCUCGGGUUUUGACUCUAUAAAAAUAAAAAAACAAAAGCCAAAAUGUGGAACUAAAAAAAGGUUAAAUAUAAAAGGCUCGAAAUGACUAUUUUUUGCAAAAAUAAGUGAACAUAAACAAACAAAUAAAUAAAUAAAUAAAAACUGGCCUCUUUUGUUAAAACGACCAUUUCGCAUUUUCGAGGAAGGUUUCAAGGCUAUUUUGACAAAAGGAGUGGACGCAAGGGCAAAACUGGUCAAAAGAGAUAAAACUAAAAGAAUUACUAUAUUAUUAUUAUUAUUAUUUGAAAAAUAAUAAUUCAUAGACACUUUUUUUUAAAAAAUUUUGGGUUGAACCCGAUGAAGGUUGCCUACGUAUAUCACAUCCGGUGAGAAUCAAACCCACGUAAUUCGGUUAAAAUAAAUAAAAAAAUAUUUUGAAAACUGUGAUUUUACACAUUAGAACCUUUCAAAACUUUUUUUUUAUAAAAAAAAUGGGAACUUUAUGAAAACGUGGAGGAAAUGUUUUCUUUCUCUCUCUGUUCAAUCAAUCUAUCCUGAAGCUGAUCAAUAAUUGAUUAAAGCCUACCAAAUAAUGUUACAUAUAGCACAAAAAAAUGAACAUAUUGGGCUGAAAAAUUGGUACCUGUCCUAGACGGGCCCGACCCCUGUGCCGAGUCCCGCUAAGUCCAAUGCACAUGAUGCAAAUAAAGCGUAGCCUACUAGGGAUAUUCAUUGCUUGUAGCUUGUUCUUCUAAGUUUUCAAAUCCUAAAGGAGAUGGUAUCUAGAAUUGGCUUACCCGGGCAGACAACCCGAGUCGAGGAGCGUUAAGCGUCACCAGUAGUAGAAUAACACUGGCUAGCUAACGGCUCUCCCGCCUAAAUAUGUGUGACUAAAUCCUUCACCAGAAUCUUGUAGGCUAACUGGCUUUAUCUCAAGACAGAAAUUUUGUGAUGCUGGUAGGCAAACACAACAUAACUAACUAUCAUAAGACUCAGAGGGUGAGAGAGAGGAUACAAUUUAUAUCACAGUUCAAAUAAAUAUUAAAGCGGUAAAUAAGCGACAAAUAGCACAUUAGGCUUCCAAACACAAUAAUAUCCAAAACAUGAUAAAAACCAAAUAAGAAUCAAUAUACAAAGCUCGAAUUCUUAUUAGUAGGUCCCCAUGAGAGUCGCCAGAGGUGUCACACCCCUUUUUAACCCCAACAAGAUAUAUAUUAUUAUAUGGGUUAAAGAGUUUUUCUAACUUAAAGUGACAAAUUUGAGUAGAGAUUAUUUUAUUUAUAGAAUCGCCACUUGAAAUUGAUUUUUGGGUGUUCCAAGUCACCUUUUAUUUGAAUCCCUAGUCAAAGGAAAGUUGACUCUAUUUAUUAUUGGUCUGCAAAAACAAAGUUCGGGUAAGAAAUUCUGUUAACCGGGAAGAAGGUGUAAGGCAUUCCCCGAGUCCCAUGGUUCUAACACGGCGCUUUAUUGACUACAACUUGUCUUGAAUUAAUUUUGGAUAAACUAUGAUUUAUUGGUUUUCAUGUUUUAUCUAUAUGCUUUUAAUCAUUAAAAUAUGGGAUUAUCCUUAAAACGAAUCACGUGUGUGAAUCCGUUUUGUUUAUUGUGCCGAAAUCAUGUCACGCAUAUGUGUACACAAUUAAUAAUAUUUUAUUAUAUUAAGAUUAUUUUUUCCAAAGUUGAGCGAACACAUAUUUCAAUUUUAAUUUUUAAAAUCAUAACUAUGUCACGCGGACGUGUACAUAAGAGCGAUAAUUUAUUUAUUAAUACGCACCUAAAGCAUACUAGCGAUUAUUAAGAAUUAUUUUUUUUCUAAACUAAUUUUGAGAUUAUUGCAAGGUCAUUGAUUAUGGAUAAAUAAUUAUUGUGGAAGAUGUUAUGUACUCUAGUUAUUAAGCUAAUGGGCUAGUGAAUAUUUCAAAGGAAAUUAAAGCUCAUAUGCACCCUUUUUAAGAAAUAUACCACGUCCAAUUAGUCCUAACCGCUCCUACAGCCUAAUUAUUAUUAUGAAAUAUGUUAGCUCAAUACCAACCCUUUAACAACAUAUCCAACAAUCCCCAUGGCCCAAUGAUCUUGUAUCACAAUCCACUUGCCGGCUAUAAAAUCUUCAUUAUUCAAGCUUUCUAAGAAGAUUAAAUCUUACUACAAUUUAUAAAAAAUCUUAUCUAAGUAAUUUAUCAAUCAAUUGCUUUGAAUCAGACAAAAAGAAAUCUAAAACAUUAGUCUAAAGCAUCAAAAAAUUACAUGAACAAUAUAAUAACUCGUGGCAUGGAAACACAUAUCAUUCGCACAGAUGAACUAAACAAGAGCUUAAAACAUUUAUUUAGAAAGAAAAUGAAGGAUGUAGCGAACCUUUAGUGGAGUAAAACUUUCUUCAUUGUAUUAAUAAAAAAAUUCAAGCGUUGAAUUACAGAGAGAAUGCACCAACCAAUCUUAAAGGCAGAAAACUACGAACAAGUACCUCUGACCGGAAACCUCGAUGACGACCUCAAUAACAACCUCCUGUUGGUAGUGUUUGGGGUAAGUUUCAGAUGCUAUUUUGUGGAUUUCGCGGUUGUUUUUGGAAAGUUUAGUGGCUGUUUUAUAGCUGGUUUUGCAGCUGAUUUUCGUUACUCUUUUUGGCUGUUUUAGUAGCUGAUUUUGCUAUGAUUUUUGGGGUGGGUUUUAGGUGCUGAUUUUGGAGAAGCUAAGGCUGCUCAUCUUUUUUUUUUUGAGAAGGAGCUGUCCCGUUUCCUUUUUUCCCGCUGCUUUAAGAAGAAGAAAAAUGGGCUACUAUUUUUUUAAUGAGCAGCAGUGCUCUUUUUAUUUUCUCUUUCUUCCUCUUUUUACUCCCAUUUUCCCG